This 230-nucleotide ribosomal RNA is filed under the name Weissella paramesenteroides. RNAcentral's name for it is "partial 16S ribosomal RNA". It matches the Rfam family "Bacterial small subunit ribosomal RNA", at positions 1 to 199 of the family's 1533-position model. Lineage: Bacteria; Bacillati; Bacillota; Bacilli; Lactobacillales; Lactobacillaceae. The record is from RNAcentral.
UUAAAAUGAGAGUUUGAUCCUGGCUCAGGAUGAACGCUGGCGGCGUGCCUAAUACAUGCAAGUCGAACGCUUUGUCUUUAACUGAUAUGAAGAGCUUGCUCUGAUUUGAUUUUAUCUGACAAAGAGUGGCGAACGGGUGAGUAACACGUGGGUAACCUACCUCUUAGCAGGGGAUAACAUUUGGAAACAAGUGCUAAUACCGUAUAAUACCAACAACCGCAUGGUUGUUG